Molecule: unclassified non-coding RNA, 346 nt
Filed under: soil metagenome
Description: partial contains 5.8S ribosomal RNA, internal transcribed spacer 2, and large subunit ribosomal RNA
Rfam family: 5.8S ribosomal RNA (bases 1-120)
Source: RNAcentral
GAUGAAGAACGUAGCGAAAUGCGAUAAGUAAUGUGAAUUGCAGAAUUUAGUGAAUCAUCGAAUCUUUGAACGCAUAUUGCGCCCGCCAGCACUCUGGCGGGCAUGCCUGUUCGAGCGUCAUUGCUGCCCUCAAGCACGGCUUGUGUGUUGGGCCCCGUCCUCCGAUCCCGGGGGACGGGCCCGAAAGGCAGCGGCGGCACCGCGUCCGGUCCUCGAGCGUAUGGGGCUUUGUCACCCGCUCUGUAGGCCCGGCCGGCGCUUGCCGAUCAACCCAAAUUUUUAUCCAGGUUGACCUCGGAUCAGGUAGGGAUACCCGCUGAACUUAAGCAUAUCAAUAAGCGGAGGA